GGCGAAAUUGUAGUGCAAGUGAAGAUGCUUGCUACCCGCGAUUGGACGGAAAGACCCCGUAGAGCUUUACUGUAGCUUAGCAUUGAAUCUCGGUAUUGUCUGUACAGGAUAGGUGGGAGACUUGGAAACUUGGGCGUCAGCCUGAGUGGAGUCAUCCUUGGGAUACCACCCUGACAGUACUGGGGUUCUAACCGGCGGCCAUGAAUCUGGUCACGGGACAUUGUUAGGUGGGCAGU
RNAcentral lists this ribosomal RNA (236 nucleotides) under Clostridium botulinum. RNAcentral's name for it is "partial 23S ribosomal RNA". It matches the Rfam family "Bacterial large subunit ribosomal RNA", at positions 2035 to 2269 of the family's 2925-position model. Lineage: Bacteria; Bacillati; Bacillota; Clostridia; Eubacteriales; Clostridiaceae. The record is from RNAcentral.